This 1502-nucleotide long non-coding RNA is filed under the name Homo sapiens (human). RNAcentral's name for it is "HSALNT0398080". Lineage: Eukaryota; Metazoa; Chordata; Mammalia; Primates; Hominidae. The record is from RNAcentral.
UGUAACUAAUUGCUCCUAUAGAUAACAUCACUAUUGUAGAACGUGAGAUUGGUCUUUUGAGAUGUUUCUCAUUCUUUUGCAUUCUGGCAACCGGCUGACCUCAUCCAUACCUAUGACUAAUGGCUCAGCCCGUCAUGUGGUCCCUACCUAGAGGUGGAUUCAAGCACAAACAGAUCAUUUCCCUCCGCCCGCAUGAUUCCAUCACCAAUCAGCAGUACUCAUUUUUUAGUCCUGUGCCCCUGAAACUAUCCUUGAAAAUCUCUAAGCCCUGAUCCACUGGGGAGGCUGAUUUGAGAGGCCAGAAGAACUUGCCUGGCAAUUAUGAGUGGAUGGAGGAACUGCCUAUCCCUGUCCCAUUGUCUUGUCCACAGGUCAGCCUCACAAAGGGAAAGAGCCCUGGAUGGGAAUACAGUGGAAGCUCAUUCUCUUAGUGACCUGGGGACAUUGGCUCGAGAUGAAGCCUGGCAGGAGUGGCAACUCCAGGUGAUUUCUGCACCUUUCCUAUUUCCUGGGAGGUGGGCCAGGCCACAGUGUUAGUGGGAAGGGAACAGAACAGCCAGCCUAGUCAGAGGGAGUGUCUGGGGAAGGCCUAGGGGUGGGGGAAGAAGCUGUGCAGGACAGGGCUUGCCAGUCAGAAUGAAGUGGGAGGAAGAUGAGGGACACAGAGAAGCAGAGAGAGGCAGAGACACCAUGGCAGUGAGCAGUGAGGGAGACACUGACUUCAAAAACCCCAGGGACCAGGUGCCCCCAGCUCCACAGUCCAGGACCAAAGAGCCCUGAGAACCCUCCAGUGGCCAAAGAGCUUCAGAAUUACAUGAGCUGGGGUGGCUUUAGGGGCAAGAGGUAGUGGGGGGAUGAAACAUGGGUGUCAGCCUCUGAAGGACAAGGGACAGGUGUGGCUAGAAACUCCUAGGAUUCUGCAUGCAAAUUCAGUCUCUAAAGAGGUUUUGGAUCAUUCAUUUCAUUCCAUUCCUUCAUUUGUUAUGUGAGAGCUCCUGAGUGUGUGUCUGUCUCGCUGGGCCUGUGCUGGUGUAGGGUGUGAGUGGGGAAAGAAAAGGUCCUCUCCUUGAUCCUCUCAUGACAGUGACAUGGACACUUUGGGAAACACAGGAUUUCAGGUUCAGUGAUGGGGGCUAAGAUCUGAGGGGGAGGCCUGGACAUGUUUUUUCCACUGACUCUGAUGGUUGAGGCAGGUGAUUUAGUUCUGGAGUACAGACUAAUGAUUUCUGCACCUUUCCUAUUUCCUGGGAGGUGGGCCAGGCCACAGUGUUAGCGGGAAGGGAACAGAACAGCCAGCCUAGUUAGAGGGAGUGUCUGGGGAAGGCCUAGGGUUGGAGGAAGAAGCUGUGCAGGACAGGGCUUGCCAGUCAGAAUGAAGUGGGAGGAAGAUGAGGGACACAGAGAAGCAGAGAGAGGCAGAGACACCAUGGCAGUGAGCAGUGAGGGAGACACUGACUUCAAAAACCCCAGGGACCAGGUGCCCCCAGCUCCACAGUCCAGGA